CAAACGGCUCUUUUAAGAGCCACCCACUUAGUAGAAAAAGGCAUUU
Danio rerio (zebrafish) is the source of this 46-nucleotide non-coding RNA. NCBI's taxonomy places the organism in Eukaryota, Metazoa, Chordata, Actinopteri, Cypriniformes, Danionidae. The record is from Rfam.